Molecule: ribosomal RNA, 429 nt
Filed under: Chloroflexota bacterium
Lineage: Bacteria; Bacillati; Chloroflexota
Description: Chloroflexi bacterium partial 16S ribosomal RNA
Rfam family: Bacterial small subunit ribosomal RNA
Source: RNAcentral
UGGGGAAUAUUGCACAAUGGGCGCAAGCCUGAUGCAGCCAUGCCGCGUGUAUGAAGAAGGCCUUCGGGUUGUAAAGUACUUUCAGCGGGGAGGAAGGGAGUAAAGUUAAUACCUUUGCUCAUUAACGUUACCCGCAGAAGAAGCACCGGCUAACUCCGUGCCAGCAGCCGCGGUAAUACGGAGGGUGCAAGCGUUAAUCGGAAUUACUGGGCGUAAAGCGCACGCAGGCGGUUGAUUGAGUCAGAUGUGAAAUCCCCGGGCUUAACCCGGGAAUUGCAUCUGAUACUGGUCAGCUAGAGUCUUGUAGAGGGGGGUAGAAUUCCAUGUGUAGCGGUGAAAUGCGUAGAGAUGUGGAGGAAUACCGGUGGCGAAGGCGGCCCCCUGGACAAAGACUGACGCUCAGGUGCGAAAGCGUGGGGAGCAAACAGG